UACGUAGGGUGCAAGCGUUGUCCGGAAUUAUUGGGCGUAAAGAGCUCGUAGGCGGCUUGUUGCGUCGGCUGUGAAAUCCCGGGGCUUAACUCCGGGCGUGCAGCCGAUACGGGCAGGCUAGAGUCCGGUAGGGGAGACUGGAAUUCCUGGUGUAGCGGUGAAAUGCGCAGAUAUCAGGAAGAACACCCGUGGCUAAGGCGGCUCUCUAGUACGGUACUGACGCUGAGACGCGAAAGCGUGGGGAGCGAACAGG
Molecule: ribosomal RNA, 253 nt
Filed under: uncultured bacterium
Lineage: Bacteria
Description: partial 16S ribosomal RNA
Rfam family: Bacterial small subunit ribosomal RNA
Source: RNAcentral